Molecule: ribosomal RNA, 1407 nt
Filed under: Triticum aestivum (bread wheat)
Lineage: Eukaryota; Viridiplantae; Streptophyta; Magnoliopsida; Poales; Poaceae
Description: partial small subunit ribosomal RNA
Source: RNAcentral
AUGAACCACUCCUUCUAUAAUUGUUUUGAAGGCAACGUCUCUGUGGCGUACACGAAGUUGAGUGAGUUAACCACAAGAGGACAGACAUGGAAUAUUAAAGCCAAAGUAAUGAGAAUGUGGGACUCGAUCAAUCCUUCGACUGAUGAACUUAUAAGCAUCGAUAUGAUCUUGAUGGAUGAGCAGGGCCAUACAGUUCAUGCUACUAUUUGGAAGAAUCUAAUAGACACUUACAGAGCAAAGAUCAACGAGGGUUCUAUAUAUGCUUUUAGCAAUUUUAAAGUUGUAGAUUCGACAAAAUAUCGACCAGUCAGCAAUGAAAUUAAAAUUACUUUUUUAUACAACACAAAAUUAAAGGAGAUGAAAGGUUCAUCGGAUAAUUUUCCAGAUUACUACUUUGAGUUUGCUAGCACCCUACAAGAACGUCUAGAAAAAGACCAACAAUGCUCAGAUGCCAUUGGGUUGCUUACCAAGAUUAAGCCAAUAGAAUCAAGGAUAACAAAGAAGAAAACACCUGCAGAUGUACGUCAAAUUGAAAUUCUAAUGCCAGAGGGUGAUAGAAUCAGAGUAUCAUUAUGGGGAAGAUUAGCUCAUCAUUUAAGUGAGGAUGUAAUUGGCAAUCAAACAAUUAUUAUUGUUACCUCAACAAUGGUGCAAAAAUUCAAUGGUUUGUGCCUAAAGUCAACUGGCGCCACAAGAUUAUAUACGAAUCUAGAUAUACCCGAGACUUGGGAACUUCGUGGCAGCCACUCCACCAAAGAAACUUUACCAAAAAUGAUGGAGAUAGAUAAAAGUACUCAAGGGACACUGGAAGAUCAAAUGUUUUACAGAAGGAUAACCUUAAAAGAACUUACUGGAAUUAGGCACGACAACCCAACAGAUGAGGACUUUGUGUUCACAACAAUAGCUACAAUUGAUCGGUUACAAGAAAAUAUUCAAUGGUGGUAUCGUAUUCGGCUUCAAAUUAGUGAUCACAGUGCUACUACAAGUUGCACUUUAUUUGAUGAAGAGGCUGAAAGAAUGCUCAAUACAUCUGUCUCAUUCCUGUUGGAUUCCUUAGAUGGAAAAUCUGAAGAAAUCCCAAAGAUUAUACAAGAAUUAUGUGGACAAAGACUUAUCUUUCGAUUCAAACUCAACAAUAAGAACCUCACUCUAGGCAUGCAGAACUAUGCAGUAAAGAAAAUAUUUGUGCCUGAUGAGAAGCUUGAGAAGCGAUACUUAGAGGAUAAAGCUGAAGAGGAUUUGAUGGAUGAUGAAGUGGACAACAUGUUAAAACAAGAAACAAAGAAACCGAAUGAGCCAGUUAAAAAGGUGAUUGUAUACUUCACUGUACAAGCUUUUCUUUACAUAAAUUCAUCUCUUAAUUCAUCCAUUUAUGUGAUUUUUGCAGGUACAAAUCAGCAAGUGUGA